RNAcentral lists this ribosomal RNA (546 nucleotides) under uncultured bacterium. Its description in RNAcentral is "bacterial SSU rRNA". It matches the Rfam family "Bacterial small subunit ribosomal RNA", at positions 774 to 1331 of the family's 1533-position model. The record is from RNAcentral.
AGUGAAUAGAUACCCGGGUAGUCCACGCCGUAAACUAUGGAUGCUAGCUGUUAGAGGUAUCGACCCCUCUAGUAGCGAAAGCUAACGCGUUAAGCAUCCCGCCUGUGGAGUACGGUCGCAAGACUAAAACAUAAAGGAAUUGACGGGGACCCGCACAAGCGGUGGAGCGUGUUGUUUAAUUCGAUGGUAAGCGAAGAACCUUACCCAGGCUUGACAUCCUUGGAAUUUUGGCGAAAGCCGAGAGUGCCUUCGGGAACCAAGUGACAGGUGUUGCAUGGCCGUCGUCAGCUCGUGUCGUGAGAUGUUUGGUUAAGUCCAUCAACGAGCGCAACCCUUAUAGUUAGUUGAAUUUUUCUAGCUAGACUGCCCUGGCAACAGGGAGGAAGGAGGGGAUGAUGUCAGGUCAGUAUUACCCUUACGUCUGGGGCUACAAACACGCUACAAUGGCCGGUACAAAGGGCAGCCAAGUCGCGAGACGGAGCAAAUCCCAUCAAAGCCGGUCUAAGUUCGGAUAGCAGGCUGAAACUCGCCUGCUUGAAGCUGGAA